GGACGGGUGAGUAACGCGUGGGAAUAUGCCCUUUGGUACGGAAUAGCCUCGGGAAACUGAGAGUAAUACCGUAUGUGCCCUUCGGGGGAAAGAUUUAUCGCCAAAGGAUUAGCCCGCGUUGGAUUAGGUAGUUGGUGGGGUAAUGGCCUACCAAGCCUACGAUCCAUAGCUGGUUUGAGAGGAUGAUCAGCCACACUGGGACUGAGACACGGCCCAGACUCCUACGGGAGGCAGCAGUGGGGAAUCUUAGACAAUGGGGGAAACCCUGAUCUAGCCAUGCCGCGUGAGUGAUGAAGGCCUUAGGGUUGUAAAGCUCUUUCAGCUGGGAAGAUAAUGACGGUACCAGCAGAAGAAGCCCCGGCUAACUCCGUGCCGGCAGCCGCGGUAAUACGGAGGGGGCUAGCGUUGUUCGGAAUUACUGGGCGUAAAGCGCACGUAGGCGGACUGGAAAGUUGGAGGUGAAAUCCCAGGGCUCAACCUUGGAACUGCCUUCAAAACUAUCAGUCUGGAGUUCGAGAGAGGUGAGUGGAAUUGCGAGUGUAGAGGUGAAAUUCGUAGAUAUUCGCAGGAACACCAGUGGCGAAGGCGGCUCACUGGCUCGAUACUGACGCUGAGGUGCGAAAGUGUGGGGAGCAAACAGGAUUAGAUACCCUGGUAGUCCACACCGUAAACGAUGAAUGCCAGUCGUCGGGUUGCAUGCAAUUCGGUGACACACCUAACGGAUUAAGCAUUCCGCCUGGGGAGUACGGUCGCAAGAUUAAAACUCAAAGGAAUUGACGGGGGCCCGCACAAGCGAUGGAGCAUGUGGUUUAAUUCGAAGCAACGCGCAGAACCUUACCAACCCUUGACAU
This 851-nucleotide ribosomal RNA is filed under the name uncultured bacterium. RNAcentral's name for it is "bacterial SSU rRNA". It matches the Rfam family "Bacterial small subunit ribosomal RNA", at positions 100 to 987 of the family's 1533-position model. The record is from RNAcentral.